This 468-nucleotide ribosomal RNA is filed under the name uncultured bacterium. RNAcentral describes it as "partial 16S ribosomal RNA". It matches the Rfam family "Bacterial small subunit ribosomal RNA", at positions 28 to 507 of the family's 1533-position model. The record is from RNAcentral.
GACGAACGCUGGCGGCGUGCUUAACACAUGCAAGUCGAACGGAAAGGCCCUUCUUUUGUGGGGUGCUCGAGUGGCGAACGGGUGAGUAACACGUGAGUAACCUGCCCUUGACUUUGGGAUAACUUCAGGAAACUGGGGCUAAUACCGGAUAGGAGCUCCUGCUGCAUGGUGGGGGUUGGAAAGUUUCGGCGGUUGGGGAUGGACUCGCGGCUUAUCAGCUUGUCGGUGGGGUAGUGGCUUACCAAGGCUUUGACGGGUAGCCGGCCUGAGAGGGUGACCGGCCACAUUGGGACUGAGAUACGGCCCAGACUCCUACGGGAGGCAGCAGUGGGGAAUAUUGCACAAUGGGCGGAAGCCUGAUGCAGCAACGCCGCGUGCGGGAUGACGGCCUUCGGGUUGUAAACCGCUUUCGCCUGUGACGAAGCGUGAGUGACGGUAAUGGGUAAAGAAGCACCGGCUAACUACGUG